This 1094-nucleotide ribosomal RNA is filed under the name Apilactobacillus kunkeei. RNAcentral describes it as "bacterial SSU rRNA". It matches the Rfam family "Bacterial small subunit ribosomal RNA", at positions 58 to 1128 of the family's 1533-position model. The record is from RNAcentral. Lineage: Bacteria; Bacillati; Bacillota; Bacilli; Lactobacillales; Lactobacillaceae.
CUCUCCAAAUUGUUUUUGCUUGCAUAAAUGAUUUUUGGAUUGGGAGCGAGUGGCGAACUGGUGAGUAACACGUGGGUAACCUGCCCCGAAGCGGGGGAUAACAUUUGGAAACAAGUGCUAAUACCGCAUAAUUAGUUGGAACCGCAUGGUUCCAACUUGAAAGAUGGCUCUGCUAUCACUUUGGGAUGGACCCGCGCCGUAUUAGUUAGUUGGUGAGAUAAAAGCCCACCAAGACGAUGAUACGUAGCCGACCUGAGAGGGUAAUCGGCCACAUUGGGACUGAGACACGGCCCAGACUCCUACGGGAGGCAGCAGUAGGGAAUCUUCCACAAUGGACGAAAGUCUGAUGGAGCAACGCCGCGUGAGUGAUGAAGGUUUUCGGAUCGUAAAACUCUGUUGUUAAAGAAGAACAAGUGUUAGAGUAACUGUUAACACUUUGACGGUAUUUAACCAGAAAGCCACGGCUAACUACGUGCCAGCAGCCGCGGUAAUACGUAGGUGGCAAGCGUUGUCCGGAUUUAUUGGGCGUAAAGCGAGCGCAGGCGGUUUUGUAAGUCUGCUGUGAAAGCCCUCAGCUCAACUGAGGAAGUGCAGUGGAAACUACAAAACUUGAGUACAGAAGAGGAAAGUGGAACUCCAUGUGUAGCGGUGAAAUGCGUAGAUAUAUGGAAGAACACCAGUGGCGAAGGCGGCUUUCUGGUCUGUUACUGACGCUGAGGCUCGAAAGCAUGGGUAGCGAACAGGAUUAGAUACCCUGGUAGUCCAUGCCGUAAACGAUGAAUACUAGGUGUUGGAGGGUUUCCGCCCUUCAGUGCCGCAGCUAACGCAUUAAGUAUUCCGCCUGGGGAGUACGACCGCAAGGUUGAAACUCAAAGGAAUUGACGGGGGCCCGCACAAGUGGUGGAGCAUGUGGUUUAAUUCGAUGCUACGCGAAGAACCUUACCAGCUCUUGACAUCUUCUGCUAACCCAAGAGAUUGGGCGUUCCCUUCGGGACAGAUGACAGGUGGUGCAUGGUUGUCGUCAGCUCGUGUCGUGAGAUGUUGGGUUAAGUCCGCAACGAGCGCAACCCUUAUUAUUAGUUGCCAGCAUUUAG